This 460-nucleotide ribosomal RNA is filed under the name uncultured eukaryote. RNAcentral's name for it is "SSU rRNA". It matches the Rfam family "Eukaryotic small subunit ribosomal RNA", at positions 580 to 1043 of the family's 1831-position model. The record is from RNAcentral.
UAAUUCCAGUCUUUCAAUAGGCGUAUAAUAAAGUUGUUGCAGUUAAAAAGCUCGUAGUUGAACCUUGGGUCUGGCUGGCCGGUCCGCCUCACCGCGAGUACUGGUCCGGCUGGACCUUUCCUUCUGGGGAACCUCAUGGCCUUCACUGGCUGUGGGGGGAACCAGGACUUUUACUGUGAAAAAAUUAGAGUGUUCAAAGCAGGCCUUUGCUCGAAUACAUUAGCAUGGAAUAAUAGAAUAGGACGUGCGGUUCUAUUUUGUUGGUUUCUAGGACCGCCGUAAUGAUUAAUAGGGAUAGUCGGGGGCGUCAGUAUUCAAUUGUCAGAGGUGAAAUUCUUGGAUUUAUUGAAGACUAACUACUGCGAAAGCAUUCGCCAAGGAUGUUUUCAUUAAUCAAGAACGAAAGUUAGGGGAUCGAAGACGAUUAGAUACCGUCGUAGUCUUAACCAUAAACUAUGCC